RNAcentral lists this ribosomal RNA (521 nucleotides) under uncultured bacterium. RNAcentral's name for it is "bacterial SSU rRNA". It matches the Rfam family "Bacterial small subunit ribosomal RNA", at positions 823 to 1346 of the family's 1533-position model. The record is from RNAcentral.
UUGGCGACAAACAGUCAGUGUCCAAGCGAAAGUGAUAAGUGAUCCACCUGGGGACUACGGCCGCAAGGUUAAAACUCAAAGGAAUUGACGGGGGCCCGCACAAGCGGAGGAGCAUGUGGUUUAAUUCGAUGGUACGCGAGGAACCUUACCUGGGUUAGAACGUAUGAGCGAUGCAGCUGAAAGGUUGCAGGCCUGCGAAGGAGUUCAUACGAGGUGCUGCAUGGUUGUCGUCAGCUCGUGCCGUGAGGUGUUUGGUUAAGUCCAGCAACGAGCGCAACCCCUACCUUUAGUUGCCAUCAGGUAAAGCUGGGGACACUAGAGGGACUGCCUGCGCAAGCAGUGAGGAAGGUGGGGAUGACGUCAAAUCAGCACGGCCCUUAUGUCCAGGGCUACACACGUGCUACAAUGGUAACUACAGAGGGCAGCGACUAGGCGACUAGGAGCGAAUCUCGAAAAGUUAUCGUAGUUCGGAUUGGAGUCUGCAACUCGACUCCAUGAAGAUGGAUUCGCUAGUAAUCGCG